UUUAAGAGAGUAAAAUAUUGACAAAAACUGCAUUAAGUUUUCAACUCUUGUUUUGUUUUUCAUUAAAAAUUUGCUACCAUUAUGUAUAAUUCAUUUUUUUUAAUGUAAAUGUUUUUAAGUAUUUGUAGGAUAAAGGCAAAUUACACUUAUUCAUUCUUUCUUUGAUAUAAUACAUGUAGCUCUUUACCUGAAAUCAAUGUUUGUCAAAUUAUUGUGCAUAAAUUAGAAGUAUGCAUGUUUCUCUUAAGUCAGUUAUGUUUCAGGAACUAUCUUUAAUGAAUUGUAUAGAAAAUUGUGGACGAGGUGUUAGGUGUACAGGAACGUGGUAUAUUAUAAACAUGUAUAGUAUCUCAUAGUAUAUAAACUCAUAACUUUUAUUAUGCAGUAUGCUUUGUAUAUUAUUUCUGAAAGCAUGUAUUCGUAUAUUUCAAUCAAGAUUGUUGAGUAAACUUUUCUUACUUUAUGCUAUCUCUGAAAGCAUGUAUAUUUCAGUCAAGAUUGUUGAGUAAAUUGUGCUUAUUUUAUGCUUUUUUCUUUUUUACAUUAGAAAAUUCCACACCUUUAUCACGAGGAAAUCUGCAAUGGCAUUUAGGAAUGACAAGUUUGUAUCUAUUACAUAAAAUCUAAUGUUUUCUGGAUUCUUCUUUUCCUUUUCCUCCCAACAGAAAAACUUUAAUGAUAGAAGCUCAACUAUUCGAAGCAGGAGACCGAAGAGAAAAAAAGGAAGAGAGAUGAUAUUACAGCUGCAGAAAAGGAAAUAAUUGAAACGCAGAAGAAUAUAUUAAUGUACUGUGUGAAAUAUGUGACUUGUAUAAGCAAUCAGUUGCAAAUCAGACUGCUGUCAUAGAAAAUCAAAAUAUAAUUAUUAAUUUAUUAAAAAAAUAAAUCAUGCAUUUCAAAUAUUA
Molecule: long non-coding RNA, 905 nt
Filed under: Stegodyphus dumicola
Lineage: Eukaryota; Metazoa; Arthropoda; Arachnida; Araneae; Eresidae
Description: uncharacterized LOC118200815
Source: RNAcentral